CUUGCCUUAAAAGUGCCAUCGUCCCAAAUCAAAGAAAAAGAAACCAAGUCCGCAUUAAUGCUUCCUUCAAUCUUAAGGGUAAAAGACAGCCUCUCACCCAAUGACGAGAAGGCCAAAACACUUGGCAGUACUUGGACAUUUAAAGAAGAUGGAUGUGCAGUUAUUAUGGCCUUAUAUGUGGAUGUAGCUGAUCCAACAUUUGUGACAGUUCUACCGAAAGUGACAUUGUUGUCGCUUGAGCGAGGGGUUGAUAGAGCAAAAGAUGGGAGAUUAAGGUUGAAAACAGACCCUGUAUUUUCUGAUGUGCAUGUGCUGUUAUCUCCUGUAAUUCUUCGCAGCGCUCUAGAACCAUAACCUUCUGCACACAGAAAACUAAUAUAAUCAUAUUCACCAGCAUCAUAAACUAGUCCAGGAUUUACUGCCUUCAAAGGAUUGAGUUGCCCCGCACCGUAAGCAAAUUCAGCAUCUACAUCAAGUGCAGGAUUCAUAGGAGUAGCUGCAAAUAAUGAACGAACAAAUUUGGUCCUUAACACGUAUACUUGGCCAUUAAGUUGUACCACAAAACAACUGAAGUUAAUAUAGUUUUUCUCCAACAGAAAAUGUACUUUAAACUGCUUUGUGCAUAAGGUUUUAGGUUAUCAUAUCUUCUCUUUAUGUUUAUACAUUUAAAAUUAAUUAAUUCUUUCACACCCUCAAUUUUUCCUACAUUUUUCAAGGGUUAUAAAAGGUUGAUAACUACAUUAUAUUAUAUAAAUACCAGUUGUCAUCAACGUGGAUUUUAUAGCAGCAGGAGACCAGUUGGGAUGAAAUGAUUUGACGUAAGCAGCUGCUGCAGAAACAUGAGGGCAUGCCAUUGACGUUCCAGAUGCUAUUUUGAAAUUUGUUACUCUUGUCUCUCCUUUAACACCAGAAAUAGGAGAAAUCGGAGACCAUGCAGCCAGAAUGUCAACUCCUGGAGCAGCUAUAUCAGGCUACAACAUCAGCAGAAAACUUAGAUAUGAGCAAAUAAGAUUGAAUCGGUUGAAAUGAAUUUACUGUAACAUGAAGUUAUACCUUAAGAAUAUUUGGAGUGACCUUAUUUGGACCUCUUGAUGAGAAAGGAGCAAUGUAAGGGGCUGAUGAAUCUUUUCCUUCGUGAGUCUUGAAUAUGGUAGCUGCUGGAUUACUACAAUAAUCGAUGACAUGACAUAAAUCAGAUAAUUAAGACUAAUUGAACAAAAUUAUACAUCACCAAUGUAUGAUCUUUUAUAGAUUGAAGAAAAGUUUUAUACCUUGUUGACUUUAAAUAAGAAAAUACGGAUUUCCCAUCACUUGCGGUAAUGCUAAUAGCUGGCAAAGCAAAUACUUCUGCCACAAAUUGAUCAGUGAAUAUAAGACCAGCAGCCCCAGAAGCAAAUCCCACAUAUGGAGAAGAAGAAAAGCCAUCACACAAAACAAUUUUCCCUCUCACCAUAGCUCCAUCCAAAGAAUUUUCAUCGCAAAACCUAAACAACGCUAAUGUUAGUAUGGACUUUUGAAUAGUAAUGGAGGGAAAGAUUAGUAACAAACUACCCAAAUAAUAAGGUUAAAUUACUUUUUUUAAUUCCUUCAAUUAACAAAAAUCAAAUAUUGUCUUCUCCAUCUAAAUAAUUUUCUAUACUUUGUGAUUAUCUAAAGUGUGCUAGAUGCAAUUUAAACACUACAAUAAUUUAAUAUUUUUUAUUUUAUUAAAAAUAUUAUUUAUGUUUUGAAAUUAAUUGCAUCUAGUGAGGUUCAGAAACUAUCAAUUAAAUAACUAAGAUUAAUAAAACUUAAUUUACUAAGUUUUUUUAUUAAAGUUUUAUAAUUUUAUUAUAUUUAAAAAUUGAAACGUUUUUUUAUUUAAAAAAAAACUAAGUAGUAUUUAAUAUAGUGGCCGUUUUAAAGUGUCAUUAUUUGUAAUUUUCUUUAAAGAUAAAUUAUAAUAUUAUUGUAGUGAUAAAAUUUGAAUAUACCCUUUAAAAUAAAUGAAGUAUAUUAAAUUUUAUAAAUAAAGAAAGAAAAUAAAAAAUAAAUUUAAUCUGAUAAUUAAGAUGAGAUAUUGGAAAAUGUUGGUACCUGGAUGUGGAACUACUAAAUCCAGCAGCUGGUGCAUCUCCCCCAUAAAUUAAAGGGUAACUCUUCUGUGCUGGACUAAAUGUAUUCACUGAAAUUCCCUGCAUAUGUUGAGGGAAAUCUUUUGUCACUUUUUAAAUAUUUUAAAAAAUAAGUGAAAGAAUUUAAAGGGAUAAAUACCUGGAAGAUUCGGCCAUCGCCAAGUUGGAGAUUGGUUAAAAACUUUCUGUCUAUGGUGGAAGCAGCCACGGAAGUGAUCCACGGUGCAAGAUUUGGCAUUGUGUAAAGGUUUGGACCCGAAUUGCCUGCAGCUUGAGAAGUUAAUAUGCCUCUCUUCAUUGCAUGGAAGGCUCCUACUGCAAAUACAUCUUUAAAAUAUUCCACGUGUAUGACUUCUCCAUAUCCCACUGAAAGAGAUAUAAUGUCAACACCAUCCAUAAUGGCUGCAUCAAAUCCUGCAAGAAUGUCAGCAGCUUCACAACCAUUUGUCCAACAAACUUUAUACACAGCAAUGCGUGCUGAUGGAACUCCUCCUCUUGCUGUUCCUAAACCAAGCCCUAAUAAAUUUGCAUUGCUAACAUGGUUUCCAGCAGCAGUUGAUGCACAGUGAGAGCCGUGACCAAUCGUAUCAGUUGGAGAUAUCAUGUCCUCUUGGGCGAACUCACCACCAAGACGAAAAUAUUUUGCUCCAAUUAUUUUGCUAUAAACAGAUCAUGAAACAAGCAUUCAUAGAUAAAUAAAUCAAUCUCUAGUUUUAUCUUUUAAUAAUUAUUAUUUUGAAAAAUGUGUUAGUUUAAUUUAGGUAUAAGUGUUUGGUUUGUAUCACUUCGAUUUACUGUUGAGGUGGGCGAAAUGAAGCUGGGAAUAACUAACUUGAGCACCGUUCGUUCAAAUUUGACAUGAGAAAACUAAAGUAUGAGUUUAAAAAAUGAAACCAGACAUGAAAAACAAAACUAAUAUGUGUUGUAGUAUGUUAUAACAAACAUCACUUACUUAUUGCAAGUGAAGUUAAGGCAUGUUCCUUUCCAUUUCUGUGGUGGUGGACCAAAGCCUUCGUCGGAGAAGCUUGAGGAAUUUGGCCAAAUUCCAGUAUCCAGUACUCCCACGAUUGUGUUACUUUCUUCCUUUGUUCUUUCAACAUUUUCAGGGAAGCCAAGAAAGCCCCAGGAACUUGAUGUUUGGAUACUGUGAACUCUAUUUGGAAUAACGGAAACCACAUCAUCCAAUCCUGCCAAACAUUCCAAAUUUUCAGAAAAUGCAUACAUCAUAAUAUAUAUAUAUAUAUAUAUAUAUAUAUAUAUAUAUAUAUAUAUAUAUAUAUAUAUAUAUAUAUAUAUAAUCAUAUUAAACUUACCUUUCAUUCUUUCUGAUUCUUCUUUGGUUAGCCUCACUACAAAUCCAUUGAAACUCCUGUAGCUGUGUACCAAGGUAUCUGGGGCAAGUUUUCUGGAUGGAUGUAUGCCAUUUCCAAUUUUAAUAAUGUAAUUUUAAUUAUGAGUUAUAAGAUAGCUUAACCGUAAAGUUGAAAAUAAAAACUAAUGAAAUUAUAGAUUUAGCUCUCUACUAAUAAUUGAAAGUUGUAAAAUUAAUAAGAAAAGUUUAGUAAAAAAAAAAUAAAAGAAAUUGUAAAUUUAACUAUCCCGUUAAAAAAUAUUAAUAAUUAAUAAUUAUCUAUAAAAGAAUUAUUUUAGUUAAAACACUCGUAUUCUUAGAUGUAAUAGGUUUAAAGUAAAGUAAUUUCUCUUCUUUUAGACCAUUCUAUUUCAUUCAUUUUUCGUUUAAGUCCUUCAGAAUAAGUCACAAGAUUACUUGAAUUUGUAAAUGUUACGCAGACAAACAAAGAACUAUUAUUAAAUAAAGGAAAAUGAUAUUUUAACACCAUUUUUUGACACUGCACACGUGUCAAAAUGUGAUUGGACGAUUUCAAAUUAAAAAAACAAAUUUUGAUUUUUCUCUUCCAAAUAUACCCCUGUCUCAACUUUUUUAAUUUGAAAUCGUCCAAUCACAUUUUGACAUGUGUGCAGUGUCAAAAUGGUGUUAAAAUAUCAUUUUCCUUAAAUAAACAAUGUUAAACUAAGGCCCUUAAUAGUGUAAAUCUGCUCUCUAAGUUGAAGUAGAAUCAAUCAAAGCCAAAUGAAUUUAAAAUAUGUCUAGUUUUAUACAUUUCUGUUUUUAGAUUGUAAGACGAGUAUGUUAGUUUGUUAGACAGUUGUUGCUUAAACUGUAUUUGGCAAUUGUAUUUUUUCUAGUAUAAAAGUACCCAACUCCUAUACAUAUUGAGAUUAGAGUGUAAGUGAGUUAGAAAAUAAUACACAGAUUAUCAGAGUUUUUUUCUUCUUCUGUUCUCUCUCUCUUUCUUCAUUGUUGUUCGGUGCACAACACUCGGUUCAAAGGCAUUGUGGUUCGAUGCAGAAGGUGUUGGUUACAAAAAUCGUUGUCGCAAUUCUAAUAGUGGUAUCCAGAGCUUCAGGUUCGAGACUUGGGAGCUUCAAAAAUCAUCAAGGGCUUGGUGGAGGCUUGGCAGAAGGUGAUUGAAGCAAGAAGAAAAUCAAGAUUAUGUUUCUUGGUGAAAGAUUGAGGGUGUAAAGAAUGGCUAGCAGUGAUAUGUCCACUAAUCUACCUGUUCUCAUAGACAAAAAUUGGAGUAGGUGAAGCACACACAUGCGAGUCUUGUUUCACAUUCAAGGCAUCAGUAGUGUGGUGGAGGGAGUGGAUUCUGUGUCUGAUCUCUGUGGCAUAGAGAAAGAGGAGUUUAAGAGGAAAUAUGAUACAACUUUGUUGAUUAUCCAUCAAUGCAUGGAUGAUAUGCAUUUUGAGAAGAUACAAAAUGCGGCUACAACAAGAGAAGCAUGGAACAUCUUGGUGUGCUGCCAUGCCGGAGGGGAAAAAGUUAAGAAGGUAAAGCUUCAGGCAUUUAGGAGACAAUAUGAGCACUUGCUGAUGGAGGAUGAUGAUAAGGUGAGUGAGUUUUUCAACAAAAUAAUGUCAAUUGCUAACCAGAUGAAAGGUUGCGGUGAAACGAUUACUGAUCUCAUGGUAAUUGAGAAAAUUAUGCGGUCACUACCUCCGAUGUUUGAUCAUAUUGUGGUAGCAAUUGAGGAGUCUAAAGAUCUUGAAAAACUAAAGAUAGAAGAACUUCAAAGCUCUAUGGAGGCAUAUGAGAUGAAGAUGCGGGAAAGAAAUCCUAUCAAACUCGAUGAGUAGGCAUUAAAGGUUCAGCAUGUCAAAAAUGAAGAGAAGAAGACAUUCAAAAAAUGGAAAGGGAAACAUGGUAAAGGGAAGUGGAGAAAUGAUAGGAACAAAGAUGACCAAAAUGAGUCUUCAACAGAGAAGGAAGGCAAACUGGAUAAGAACUUCUGCAAGAAGGACAAGAGAUAUAUUUAAUGUUUUAAUUGUCAUAGGUAUGGGCACUACGCUAAUGAGUGCUAUGCUGAAAAGGAAGAGUAGAAGAAGGGUCAAGGAAAGGAGGCCUACAUAGCUCAAGAAGAGUCUGAUUCAGAACCCCUCAUAUUGAUGACAACUACAUCUACAGUAAGCUCAUGCUCUCAAGAUAAACUGUGGUAUUUUGAUUCGGGAUGUUCGAAUCAUAUGACUUGCCACAGAGAAUGGUUGGUAAAUUUUGAUGAAACCAAGGAGAGUAUGGUGAAAUUUGCUUAUGACAACACUUCAAAGGUAGAGGGAAUUGGUGAUGUUGUUAUCAGAAGAAAGAAUGGCUCUUGUGCCAUUCUAACUAGUGUGUUGUUUAUGCCUACAAUAAGGUACAAUCUUCUGAGUAUUGGCCAGUUAAUUCAAAAGGGAUUUACAAUAAUAAAGGGAGGCUUCAAUAAGGUUGAGGUGUUUGAUAAAAGCAAAAACCUGAUCUUGAGGAGCAAGAUCUCGAAGAAUAAAACAUUUCAUAUCAACAUAGUGAAGUCUACAAUGUGUGAAAAAUUUGGAUCUGGUGUUACAAAAUGUGAGAUGAAUACUGAUACACAGAUUGAUGAUGAGGAAGGUCUGGUGCAUGUAGCUAUGUCUGCAAGUGCAGAAUCGAUCGGUCAAACUGAAGCCUUGAAGAAAUCUGUGUGGAAGGAUGCAAUGAGAGAAGAAGUUGAUUUUGUUAGGAAGAAUGGAAUCUGGAAGCUAGUUGACAUUCCACCUGGGAAGAAGAAAAGCAUUGAAGGUAAUGCUGUCAAAGAAGAAUGGGGAGUUGCAGGUGAACCGAGACAUGGCAAACACCAAAACACUUGACCACAACAUUCAUUCAACCGAGUUGGACGUCGCUUAGGAGCGUCAAACUGGCAACCGCACUCACACCGUUCGGUCACGUCACUCAGUCGCUCUUUCACAUCGUUUGAUCUUGGUCGCACAGCUCGUGCAAAUUGGCAUCCGCCUUCGCCACGUGAUUGGCAGGAGCAGUUGCUCAACGGACUGGCAAGUGCAAGUUCUAUGAGUCACUGAUCACACCAUUCGGUCACACACCGUUUGGUCUCAUUGCAGUGCACAAGGUAGGCUAGUGAGGAUGGGUGCUACCUCCCUAAGUGCUCGACUUAGAGGGGUGUGUUAGAUUGUAAGCUGAGUAUGUUAGUUUGUUAGACAGUUGUUGGUUAAAGUGUAUUUGGCAGUUGUAUUUUUUCUAGUAUAAAAGUAUCCAACUCGUGUACAUAUUGAUAUUAGAGUGUAAGUGAGUUAGAAAAUAAUAAACAGAUUAUCAGAGUUUUUUUCUUCCUUUGUUCUCUCUCUCUUCAUUGUUGUUCGGUGCACAACACUCGGUUCAAAGGCAUUGCCAUUCGGUGGAGAAGCAUUGCCAUUUGGUGCAGAAGCAUUGUCAUUCGGUGCAGAAGGUUCUGGUUAAACAAAUUGUUGUCGUCGUUCUAAUAUCUAUAACUAAUUAUAAUUUGUUUAGUAAUUACCUUUAAUUAUUAGAAAAUUGUUGUAUAUCCGGGUACACGUUCAUAUAUAUUGAAAUGAUUAUAUAUGUACGCAAAAAUAAUCGAGUGUUAUCUCCCAAACAAAGCAACAAUUAUAUAAAAGCUAACAUUUGAAAUAUAAUAAGAAACGAAUAAAGGAAGCCAUUUUUUAUGAAUGUUGUAAUGAAAAUUGGGAGCUAGAAUUGUGUAAUAAUAUAUGACCUGCUGAUGACACUUUGAACGAUAUUAGUAUGAAGUGAUUCUGUGAGUUCCAUGCCCUUUGGAUAUUCGCCCAUGUAGACUAUGUAAAUCUGUAUUAGAUUAGAAUAUGAACAAGAUAAGUUAAAAAAUAAUGAUGAAUUUAAAAUAAUAGUCCUACUACAACUUAAUUUCAUGUGGAUGCAUAAACAUUGAGAAUACUAUGUUCAACCUUGGAUAAAAUCAUUUUUAUGUUAAUUUGUUUAUUUUAAAAAUAAUCCAAGCUCUUCUUAACUUGAAAGGUUUCCAAUAUUUUUUUAUAAAGAAAAAUGUAUCAUUAGAAUUGUUAAAAACAAAUCAUAAAAAGAUAUAACUGAAGUAUAUGUUUGGAAAAUUAUAUGGGAUAUAUAUGUUAUUUACCUUUCGAUCAUCUUUAGAAAAUGAGGGAGUGAGUAACAGAAUGCAUGUAAGAAUUUGGAGAAGACGCGACAACCCUAAAGAGUUCAUCUUUCUGUGACAGUAUAAUCUUCACAAAAUGAUGAAUGUGUUUUGAAGCUCUUUCAACCUGUCAGCAAAUUUAAUUUGGAAUUGGAAAUUGUGAAUAGAAGCCUAGUCAUGUACAUAAAUAAUUGGCAACGAAAACAGUAACAAUGAUCUUACAAAAAGUUAAGAUGAAAAAAUACAGACAUAUACAUUAAUAAGAAGAACAUCAUAUUAAUCUGCACAACAAAGUAAUUUUAAUAUACAUUAAUAAUACAUAAUAAAGUGGAUAAGCAAAAUGGAAUGUACUAAAGACUUGGUUUUCUCAUUUUUAAUUUUUAGAUUAUUGAAUCUUUUUUUAUCAAUUGUUGUUGUUGAAAUUGAAUUAGAUCGGGUGGUGAAUGUCUCCCAUCUUUCAUUUUCUUGAAAGUUUGUUCUUCGGCGCAUUUUAUUCCUAACAUUUUAAAAUAUUGUAAAGUUUGUCCUUUAAUUAUGUAUAUGUAAAUAUCAAAAGACAUUAACCUUUCACUACGGUUUUAAGUUAUUACUAUAAAUGCACAUAUUUAAAAUUAUUUUUAACACAAUCACCAUUUUAUUAUUUUCUUUAUUUCCUCUUUUUGUAAUUAUCUUCUCCUUCCUCCCCACAACACCUUUUACCUUUUGAAAAUCGUCUCUCUCUCUCUCUCUCUUCAUAUUGCUAUUAUUAAAGUUGGAGGAUGAAUCCAAGUUGUUACUGUUUACUAAGAAAAGUGUGUCAUUGCUAUGAAGAGAUUUUCUUUUAUACUGGAUGUGAAGAAAGAGAAGUUGUCUAGGAAGCCAAAAUAAUAGAGUUUCCCUCAUUUUUCUGUGUUACUGUGCGUGAGACAUAGAGAGUCAUUUAUAUAAUUUUUUUUUUUGUAGAAAUAUAUGUCUCAUUUAAAUUUUAUAUUGGGUAAAAUAAAGAUAAACAAAAUUAAGUAUCAUAUUAAAAAGUGUUUAUAAAUUUAUUAUUUUAAAGUUUUAGAUGGGAGGUGAAAUUAAUUUCUUUUAUAAAUUAAGAAUUGAACUAAAAUAAAAUAAUUAUAAAUGAAAGCAAAACAUGGUAGUAUUGCAUGAUUAAUUCAAAAGUUGAAAAUUCAAUGUUUCUUUUAAGACAAUAAUGUAAAAGAUAUAAAUUGGAAAUAGAGAGAGAACCUUCUUACACUACUUAUGUAUGAAAGAAUGGAAAUAGAGCAUUCUUAAAUUCCCAACAAGAGGUUUCAAAGAUACCCUUAUCAUUUUGUUAUCUAUUGACAAAUCUACGCUAAUUUCCAAAUUACAACAAAUGAGUUUUUAAUGAGGUAUCUUGAAUUUCAACAACCUUGUUAUACAAGCUUAUGUAUGAAAGAAUGGAAAAAGAGCAUUGUUAUAAAUAUACAACCCAAAGAAAGAAGCAAUAGAAAAUUAUUGGGAGAAAAAAAAAAAAGAUUAGAAAUGAAUAAGGUAUUAGAAAUAGGAAUAGAGAAGGGACAUACCACACAUUUUGAUAUAUCUUGAGUGAGAAAUGAUGUGAAUACACAGAACACUCUUUCUCACCUUUUAUAGCCACUACAUUGGAUGCAGUACUAUUUUUAUUUUUUUUUAUCUUUCUUCAAUUAAAUUCCUUAAAAUUUUAUUCUAUUUUACUUUUUCAUUCUUAUUCGAAAUAAAUUUUUCAAAAGUUUUAUUCGUUUUAUUGAGCCUAAAUAUAUGUGGCAAGACCCCUUUCAAACUUUCACAUCAAAAUCUACUACAAAAUAAAUAAUUAAUAAUUAAGUCUUUAUAUUAAAGUUUAUAAUUUUUUAUUUUUAUAGUUUUUUAUUCAAUUAAGUUUCUAUUUUUUUAACUGAAACAAUGCGGUUUAGGGAUGGCAACGGGUCGGGUCGGAUAUGGAUAGUGCCUACCCGCAACCCGACCCGUCGGAUAAAAACGUAUUCGCCACCCGACCCGCCACCCGCCGGGUAUCCGUUUAAGAAAUACCUGCGGGUAUUUAAAAACCAGCGGGUACCGUUAGAUACCCGUUUUAAACCCGCGAAUAUUUAAAAAAAAUAAUAUUUUAUAAGUUUUUAAAUGAAAUAAUCCAAAUUAAAUUGAAAAAAAAAAUUGAAAUGUUUUAGAUUUUAAGUUAAAGGUACUUAUGCAAAGGAAACUAAGGACAUAAAUAUAAUUUUAACUUCUAAGCGGGUAACGGGUAUCCGCGGGUACGGAUAGUGCAAAAUCCGAACCCGACUCGAUAAGAAGCGGGUAUUAAAAAAUCCGCUACCCGCUACCUGCGGGUACCUAUUAUCCGCGAGUACCAACUAUCCACAACGGGUUUAAUCCGCGGAUAUCCGCGGGCACGAGUUUUUUUGUCAUCCCUUCUGUUCAUUAUGCUAAAUGAACCGUACCCAUGUUAUAACGAUCAUGUAUUAAUUUAAUCCAUCUUUUACUUUUUCUAAAUUCUAAGGAUACACUUUCAUCACCUUUCUCCUUCACGCCACCUCCCAACAAACUCCAAAAGUUUAAUUAUAAUUAUAAUAACUUUGCUUUGGUAGGUUUAUUGUAAAAGAAGUAUUGGUCGUUUUCGAAAUAUGUACAUAAUAUAAAAUAUUAAUGUUAAAUUAGUUAUCUCCAUAAAUAAAUAUAAUUUAUGUAGUCAAUUAACAUUAAGAAUUAUUAUAUAAAUAUUAAUAUUGUAAUCUCACUAAAUUUAUAAUAAUUUAUCAUAAUAAUUACUUUGUCGGAGAUAGCUUUAUAAAUUUAUAAAUACUUUAUGUUUUGGAUAAUAAAAUUCGUUUUCUUAUACAAUAUUAUAAUUUAUAUCAUUAGAGUUUAUAAAAAUAAGGUUUGAGACGGAAUAACACAUUAAAGAAUUCUCGUGAUAAUGGAAGGUAGUCUUUAUUUCUUUUUCUAUAUCAGAUUAUAUUUGAUAUCAUAGCAUAGCAAAGUUAAAUAGCUUUAUCUUGUUUUGAAUCUAUUGUCAUUAUCCUUAUGGAUUCUAUAUUUGUUCUUUUUUUUUUUUUUUGGAUCUAACAUUGUAGGUAUUAGGGUCACCUUUUGUGAGGUACACUACAAGAAAAAAACGUUGUUACGUAUGAUCAAAAUUUGUAAAUAAAAGUCAAAAUAAUAGAUAAAGUAAUGUUACUUAUGAAUUAUUUAUAGACAAAAAUUCGUAGGACAAAAAUCAAUUUUUUUUCUAUUAACACAUUCAAUUUUAACUCCUAAAACACCCUUACCUUUACAUUUACAUUCACAUCUACUUUUAAGAAUAGAUAAAAUAAUUAAUGUUACUUAUAGAUUAUCUACGGAUAAAAAUUCGUAGGACAAAAAUCAAAUUCUUUUUUAAAAAUACUUUCAAUAUUAAGUCCUAGAACAUCCUUACCUUUACAUUUACCUUCACGUCUACUCUUAAGAACUCUUACUAAUUCACAACUUGGUGUAUAACUUUAGCAAAAUCCAUUGACUUCUUCUAUAAUGUAUUGCUUUAUAAUUGAAGCUUCAGGUCAAUACUAUUUUUGACAUACUCUUUUAAGAUCUUCAUGUAUCUUUCAUCUAGAUACAUCCAUCUCAAGAAAAUUGGUCCACAUAUUCUAAUUUCUCUCGCUAGAUGAACUAUCAAAUCAAUCAUGAUAUCAAAAAAUAAGAGUGAAAAAUACAUUUCCAAUUGUUACAAUAGUCUACUGACCUCAUUUUCUAAAUCAUCUAAUACUCAAGGUUCAACAACUUUCUUACAAAAAGCAUUAAACAUACUCAAACAUGUAAACAUACAUAUAACAAAAACAAGUAAUGAGGCUUAAGUAUCUACUAGUAAAAGUGAUUGCAUCAAAACAUAACAAUUGUAAGACUUUAAAGUAACUAAUUUUAAAUUUUGCAUAGAAACAAAAUUACUAAUAUUUGAAUAGUGUAACCUUAUGUCAACUUUGGAGUCUCCAACACCAAGCACUCUUUUAUUUCAAGAGAGUUGCAACUCUCUCAAGUGAACCUAUUUAGCCACACUUCACACCAUUUAUUCGAGUUUGAGGUAUUUAAAUAUUUUAUAUUCAUAAAAAAAAUUAUGGUAUAUUUUAGGGAAUUGAGGAGUGAAUUAAAUUGAGGAAAUGAACAAAUUAGUAUGGUGCAAUUUAAAAAAAUAUAUAUUAAAACAAAUAAAAUUGAAAGAGAUAGUUGGAUAAAAGACAUAAUUAAUAUAUCAAAAGAAAUCCCAUUCAGAUAGAAGAUAAAAGAGAACAUGAUUAAUAUGCAAAACAUGGAGAAAAAGAACAUAUUUGAAAGAAAAAAACCAAAUUUUUCUUUUUUCCUAUAUCAAAACUUGUUACGUAACUUAUCUAUACUAUAUAAAUCUCAUUAAUAAUCAAGUAUAUGGAUAUCUACAAUAUAGUGACAUUUAUAUUACAAAGAAGGAGAAACGGUUAUCUCAUUUAGAAAAGCAAUGAUAAUGAAUGUAUGCAUACAUUAUAAUAAUGACAUAAUUAAUUACUCAGAAGGAAGGAGUAGAAAAUACUAAUUGGAUCAAAGUAAUUAUUGUCUUGAUUUUAUUCCUGGGACAAAGCACUUUAUCAUCAUUUAUUCACUGAAACUUUGGACAGAUUUCAUUUUUGGCAGCAUACAAGGCUUACAACUUUGCCAUUCAAGUUGUUAUUUUGUUGCAUUGACAAGUGCUGGUAGCAGAAGAUUUAUGAAACAUAAACAACAACGGGGCUCCUUGCCUUAAAAGUGCCAUCGUCCCAAAUCAAAGAAAAAGAAACCAAGCCCACAUUAAUGCUUCCUUUAAUAUUAAGGGUAAAAGACAGCCUCUGACCCAAUGACGAGAAGGCCAAAACAUUUGGCAGUACUUGGACAUUUAACGAGGAUGGAUGUGCAGUUAUUGUGGCCCUAUAUUUGGAUGUAGCUGAUCCAACAUUUGUGACAGUUCUACCAAAAGUGACAUUGUUGUAGCUUGAGCCAUCGGUUGAUAGAGCAAAAGAUGGGAGAUUAAGGUUGAAAACAGACCCUUUAUUUGCUGAUGUGCAUGUGCUGUUAUCAUCUGUAAUUUUUUGCAGCGAUGAUGAAUUGUAACCUUGUCCACACAGAAAACUAAUAUAAUCAGAUUCACCAGCAUCGUAAACCAGUCCAGGAUUUACUGCCUUCAAAGGAUUUAUUUGCCCCGCACCGUAAGCAAAUUCAGCCUCUUCAUUAAGUGCAGAAUUCAUAGCAGUAGCUGCAAAUAAUGAACGAACAAAUUUGGUCCUUAACAUCUAUACUUUGCGAUUAAGUUGUACCACAAAACAAUUGAAGUUAAUCCAGUUUUUCUCUAAUAAAAAAUGUACUUUAAUCUGGUUUGUGCAUAAGGUUUUAGGUUAUCGUAUCUUCUCUCUAUGAUUAUACAUUUAAAAUUAAUUUCACACCCUCAUUUUUUUCCUACAUUAUCAAGUACAUUAUAUUGCAUAUAUACCAGUUGUCAUCAACGCGGAUUUGAUUGCAGCAGGAGACCAGUUGGGAUGAAAUGAUUUGACGUAAGCAGCUGCUGCAGUAACAUGAGGGCAUGCCAUUGAAGUUCCAGAUAUUAUAUUCAAAUUUGAUACUCUUCUGUCUCCUUUAAGUUCAGAAAUAGGAGAAAUCGGAGACCAUGCAGCCAGAAUUUCAACUCCUGGAGCUGCUAUAUCAGG
This 13258-nucleotide long non-coding RNA is filed under the name Vigna radiata. RNAcentral describes it as "long non-coding RNA (VRAD_LNC004466)". The record is from RNAcentral. Lineage: Eukaryota; Viridiplantae; Streptophyta; Magnoliopsida; Fabales; Fabaceae.